UACGGAGGGUGCGAGCGUUAAUCGGAAUGACUGGGCGUAAAGGGCAUGUAGGCGGAAAGGCAAGUUAGGUGUGAAAUCCCUGGGCUCAACCUAGGAACAGCAUUUAAAACUGCUUAUCUAGAAUACUGUAGAGGAAGGUAGAAUUCCAUGUGUAGCGGUGAAAUGCGUAGAGAUAUGGAGGAAUACCGGUGGCGAAGGCGGCCUUCUGGACAGAUAUUGACGCUGAGAUGCGAAAGCGUGGGUAGCAAACAGG
This 253-nucleotide unclassified non-coding RNA is filed under the name uncultured Orbaceae bacterium. RNAcentral's name for it is "contains 16S-23S intergenic spacer region". It matches the Rfam family "Bacterial small subunit ribosomal RNA", at positions 524 to 776 of the family's 1533-position model. The record is from RNAcentral. Lineage: Bacteria; Pseudomonadati; Pseudomonadota; Gammaproteobacteria; Orbales; Orbaceae.